UUUAUCCCACAUUGCAGAUGUGGAAAAUAGUUCAUUUGUGUAGAUGGAGAAGGCCUAUGCAAAGUAUACGUACAUGCGAUGGCACUUUAUGAUGCGCUUUGCACUUCUAACUUCGCACGUUUAUAUUGGUGCAUGAGGUGUCCCUUGUCUGAGCAUUUGUGCAUGUCUGGUUCAUUUAGCGUUUUGGUUCAAGUGGAUUUUAUGUUCUCGUAGAAUGCCCCCUCCGGUGAAGAGUCAUGCUCCGGUAGAGUGGUGUGAUUGGUGAAUUGUGUCCGACAAGAUGGUUCUAGUGGAUUGGUGCAUCCCGGUAAUCCCUGUAUUUUGUGCCCUUUGAUGAAAUGUGGAGCUCCAAGGAAGCACGCUCAAGUACUUGUGCUCUACCAGUGAAAACGCGUAGAGAAUAUGUGACAUUUGGUCUUCUAAAACUUGAGGAGGCUUCGAUGACGGUUACUUUUGGAGCUCGAAGAGGAACUGCGCUGCACUGACAGUUGAGAUUAGGGUACUUUUAUCUCGAUUUAUAUAUGGAUGUGUUUUUUCCUGUUUUGAUACACCGAAGCCAUUCGAGUUUUCAAAGUUGGGAGAACUUUUGCUCUAUAGAAGGCAAUUAUUGCGUUUUAGAUCUUACAAUAGUUGUGUAUUUGUAUUGAUAAGAUAAUUCCCUAGAUCCUUG
Molecule: long non-coding RNA, 670 nt
Filed under: Amborella trichopoda
Lineage: Eukaryota; Viridiplantae; Streptophyta; Magnoliopsida; Amborellales; Amborellaceae
Description: long non-coding RNA (ATRI_LNC004441)
Source: RNAcentral